GAUCCUGGCUCAGAUUGAACGCUGGCGGCAGGCCUAACACAUGCAAGUCGAGCGGAUGAAGGGAGCUUGCUCCUGGAUUCAGCGGCGGACGGGUGAGUAAUGCCUAGGAAUCUGCCUGGUAGUGGGGGAUAACGUCCGGAAACGGGCGCUAAUACCGCAUACGUCCUGAGGGAGAAAGUGGGGGAUCUUCGGACCUCACGCUAUCAGAUGAGCCUAGGUCGGAUUAGCUAGUUGGUGGGGUAAAGG
This 246-nucleotide ribosomal RNA is filed under the name uncultured bacterium. RNAcentral's name for it is "partial 16S ribosomal RNA". It matches the Rfam family "Bacterial small subunit ribosomal RNA", at positions 15 to 263 of the family's 1533-position model. The record is from RNAcentral.